Molecule: ribosomal RNA, 189 nt
Filed under: uncultured bacterium
Lineage: Bacteria
Description: partial 16S ribosomal RNA
Rfam family: Bacterial small subunit ribosomal RNA
Source: RNAcentral
CCUACGGGAGGCAGCAGUGAGGAAUAUUGGACAAUGGAGGCAACUCUGAUCCAGCCAUGCCGCGUGCAGGAAGACUGCCCUAUGGGUUGUAAACUGCUUUUAUACAGGAAGAAACCUACUUACGUGUAAGUAGCUGACGGUACUGUAAGAAUAAGGAUCGGCUAGCUCCGUGCCAGCAGCCGCGGUAAU